Long non-coding RNA from Xenopus tropicalis (tropical clawed frog), 3179 nucleotides. RefSeq lists it as uncharacterized. NCBI's taxonomy places the organism in Eukaryota, Metazoa, Chordata, Amphibia, Anura, Pipidae. The record is from RefSeq and is a predicted model, not a curated record. The transcript is spliced from 3 exons.
UGACCGGAGAGUCACGUGUGUCCGCGCCGUGACGUAGGGCCUUCCCAUUGGCUGGCGGACGGACAGACUGAGCCCUGGGAGCGGUGGGAGGGAGUCGGACGGAGGCGCCUAUGGAAUCAUGGGGGGGUGCUCCCCGGAGAUGGAACCCUGUAACCUCGCACCCUGCAUACUACCGGGGCAACUGUGCGUGUCCCGCCGGGCCCAGCACCGACCGAGAGAAACGGAGUCGAGCUCCUCCGAGAAGAAAAUUCCGCUCCGACAUGGCUGGAUCCCCAUCACCCGGUUAGAAGGUCCCUUCCCCGGAUUUUUUUGCCUCCGGCACUUCCUGAAACCACAACCGGUUUUGUAGUUUGUCGCUGUAAACAUCCCCGACUGGAAGCUGUGAGGCUGCAUUUGAGCUUUCAGUCUGGUGUUUGCUGCUACCGGCUACAGACGCUUCUCCCCCUCGCAGUGCGCCGGCCUGUUCUGUAAACCAAUGCUCUCCCUAAAUUACUUAUUAACUUAUAAACUUAAUUAUCAGUGAUUUAUUAACCCAUUGCAUGGCAGAACAUGACAUUCAAACCACUAAUCACACUGGUUUCAUUUCAGCUUUGUAGUUUUGCCUGGCAUGUAAAGGGUCAAAGGUUGCUCCCCCCUCCACAGAGAACUCCCCUACAUGGGAAGCAUGGCACCUAUGGCAAAUGCUGUGGAUUGGUUGGGGAUUACAAGCAAGAGAUCCCUGAUUUGCCAUAGGUGGAUCAGAUAGGCGCUGUCUCUAUACUCUGAGAGACCAAUGAAGCAGUCAGACUGUCCCAUACACCAUUAGGGCGAAGACACAUGGAGCUACUUAGUAGCAGUUACUUGUCACGGCUACUAAACGCCAGAAAAUCCCCUGCCAUAGACAAUACUGAGAAUUGCCUUUAACACACACGUAGAGACAGUUAUCAGUAAAUGAUCAGCAUUGUCUUUUUUGUAGCUGUGAUAAAUAGUUGCCACUAGUAGCUCUGUGUGUCUUCACAGAUUAGUCGCCCACAAUAAACUUAAGUACAACAGGUGACUAAUCUCCCCAAAACGCCUUUCCACUGCAGCAAUUUGAAUCGCAGGUGUAAAGGCAUAACAUGAUGCUUCGUUUUUCCGAAGUCGCACAAUUUCACACAACUUCGUGAAAACAAAGUGACACGUAUGCCUUUCCAUCGGCUGUUUAUGUGGGCAACUUAUCUGUCUAUGGGGCAUUAGCCCUAAAGGUGGCCAUACAUAACAAUUUGCAGGAUAGAGGUUCAGGGCUGAAUGUCAGAUAUUGAGGUAUAAACAAUAGGACUUCUGCCCAUAUCUAACAAUUUAGCCCUAAAUGUAGCUUUUUUGUGUGCACUUUCAACAGCGCCCAAUCAAAAUCUUUUGUCUUGCCCAUUCGUUGAGACGACUGAUAUCCAAGGCUUUUUCGAUAUCUGUCAUAUCGACAUGCACCAAUUAUCGUACGAAACCUUGUUUUGUACGAUAAUAUCGGUGCAUGUAUGGCCGGCUUUAGGCAGGGCUGUCCAACAGGAGGUCCAUGGGCUGGAUUUGGCCCUCCAAAGGAUUUUUAAGGCCCCCCCCCCAGUCUGCUCAGAGGCUCCAUAGACUUCACUAUAUAAAUUAGAGAGCACUGGCCAUAGGGAUCCCCAGCGUUCUUGAGUGAAUAAACCAAAUAUACGACACACAAAGCACCAUUGAAACAUGUUACACAUGUAGGAUGUUUAGGAUUACAUGGCAGGCUGCCCGCAUUACCUACUCACACCCUUACAGAAGGCCACGCCCAUACUGCCCCUGGCUGAUAUCAUUAGGCCAUGCGUCUAUUCAUACACGGCUCCUGUAUGGAGCUCCAGUAUCACUGUAGUAGUUGCAGCAUUUUCCAGUGAGUGCAUUCCAUCAUUGGGACCCCCCUCGACUAUAUUUAAUGCAGCUCCCCCCUUAAUUAAAAACACAGUCAUUUAAACAUCUGAAAUUCUACCGUUAUUCUUUAUUAGAAAAACAUUAAACCGUCAGUACAGGUGAUUCCCCCCCGGGGGGGACCUGUUUCCCAGUCUUGGGUCCCCAGAUGUUGCUGGACUGUAACUCCUACACCACUUGCUGGGGGCUGUCUAAAAACAUCUGGGACCCCCGGGGCAGAGAAACAAGGCUCUAAGGAAGGAGGCCGAGUUCCUAUUGUGCAUUAUCCACAUUCCCAAAGCUUUCAGGAAGAUCAUUCCGGCAUACAGAAACUUCAAAAUCAUUUUUCUAGCAGUAUGUCCUCCCCAAUUGCUUUGAUAAACAGAAGUCACAUUUAGAUCAGCAGUUAUUUAAUACUGGGAGUUGUAGUCCAGCAGCAGCAGCAGUUUACCUUUCCCUUGGUGUAAUUAAAAUGUCAUUAGUAAUUAUAAUAAUUGUGGCUUCUGCAGGGAAAGCUUCUCUGUUAUUAUUAUACUUGUCAGGUCAUUAUUUGCACAUGUCCGUAGGGCAGGAUUCUAGAAAUAACACAUUUCGGGAAAAAUCUAAAUGAAUGGAGAUUGCCAAAAAAUAAUAGGCGGGUUGACAUCAGUGGGAAAAAUGGUUUCACAAAAGUUGGGUAUUAAUAGCCUAUAGCAGGGGUCCCCAACCUUUCUUACUCGUGAGCCCCUGUCAAAUGUAAAAUGAGUUGGGGAGCAACACAAGCAUCAUAGGGGUGCCAAAUAAGGGCUGUAAUUGGCUGUUAGUCUGCAGAGAGGUAACCAAACAGCCUAUAGCAGGUUAUGUUUGCUAGUUUAUUUUGUUUUUAUCUAACUAAACUUGCCAGCGAGCCAAGAAUGCAGAAAUGAACACAUGCUACGAGGCCACUGGGAGCAACAUUCAAGGGUUGGUGAGCAGCAUGUUGCCCCUGAGUCACUGGUUGGGGAUCCCUGGCUAAUAAUAUUAAACUAAUUCCCCCUUCCCAACAACAUCAACCAAAUUGUAAAAAAGAAGUGAUAAGUUUGACCAUAGCUGGUAGCCAAAUGCAGAGAUGUGCAGCAGGAUUGGUGGCCGCUAUGUUUGGCUGUAUGACAUUUGGUGCCAAGGUGGAGAUGGCUGAUACAGGGCCAGGUUGGCUUUAAACCACUAAUGUGAAGCCUCAGACAGUUGAUACAGCCAAACAUGGCAUCAAUCCCUAGGUCAGUGAUCCCCAACCAGUGGCUCGGGGCAACAUGUUGCUCCCCAACCCCUUGGAUGUU